UACGUAGGCAGCGAGCGUUGUUCGGAGUUACUGGGCGUAAAGGGUGCGUAGGUGGUUAGGUAAGUCCGAUGUGAAAUCUCCAGGCUCAACCUGGAAAUGGCAUUGGAUACUAUUUAGCUUGAGGAGUGGAGGGGGGACUGGAAUUCUCGGUGUAGCAGUGAAAUGCGUAGAUAUCGAGAGGAACACCAGUGGCGAAGGCGAGUCCCUGGACACUUCCUGACACUGAGGCACGAAAGCUAGGGGAGCAAACAGG
This 253-nucleotide ribosomal RNA is filed under the name uncultured bacterium. Its description in RNAcentral is "partial 16S ribosomal RNA". It matches the Rfam family "Bacterial small subunit ribosomal RNA", at positions 524 to 776 of the family's 1533-position model. The record is from RNAcentral.